Leptonychotes weddellii (Weddell seal) is the source of this 420-nucleotide non-coding RNA. NCBI's taxonomy places the organism in Eukaryota, Metazoa, Chordata, Mammalia, Carnivora, Phocidae. The record is from RefSeq and is a predicted model, not a curated record.
GCUGUGAAUUCUGAGUGAGCAAUGAUUUGUUUUAUCAUAUACCCAGAAUAUUUCCUUUAGUAAGAUUGACCUGACAGUUCUCACUGCUCCUAGUAAUGUCACAUUACUAUAGGUUAUCUACAUGGCUUCUUCGCCCUUUUUUCCUAGACUUAUCUCGGCAAGUCACUUCUUCCAGAUGACUCAACAGAGGAUGCUAAAUCAAGCAGAAUUUGGGCAGCCAUUCUUUUGGAAAGGAUGCUGAGGAACAGGAGUUUAUUCUGAAGAAAUGAUCAGAAAUGACAUGAAGAGAUAUGAAAAUGAUAUUCAUUACAGCUUUAUACUCUGAUGAAAAUGAGAAACAAUUCUACAAAAAUGAGAAUGGAUUAUGGAUUAUCAUAUGAUGGAAUCAUGGGCAAUCAUUAAAAUGUCUUUGGAGAAUAA